Molecule: long non-coding RNA, 3986 nt
Filed under: Mus caroli (Ryukyu mouse)
Lineage: Eukaryota; Metazoa; Chordata; Mammalia; Rodentia; Muridae
Description: predicted gene 42697 (MGP_CAROLIEiJ_G0003447.1)
Source: RNAcentral
ACUACCCUCCAGAUCAAUGGAAGCUCCCAAUGGUGGAGUUUAAUGUCCACAGCCUUCAGCAACUACUAGCGACCUGCCAAGCACACAGGCCGAGGAAAACAUAUUCUGUUUAAAAAUCUGGCUUAUGUCAUUGUAUCCAGAACUACUAGAAUAAAAUGUUUACUUCCACUUGACCUGUUCCUCUGUCACUCGAGUGUGAUGAAAACGGAGAUGAAACCCGGAACUGGCUGUGAGUGGAGUGCUGGAUUUGAUAGCUUCACACCAGGCUAGGUUUUGCUUUCUCCACAAGCUGGCUCCAGAGCAAGUCUCACGAGAGACAGUGCUUCCCAAAUAAAUUGGGAAGUGAAGGAGAAGGACAAAAAUGAUCAACCGGUGGGAGCUUAUCCUAGGCUAUGCACGUUGCUAAGUAUUAUUUGUGUAUAUCCCCCUAAUUGUUACAAAGACACCAACAAAGAGGGACUGUUGCCAGAACACCACUAAAGAAAACCUAAAACAGGAAACAUUAAGGAACAAGUCCAAAGUCACUCACCUGGUGACUGUGUGUAAGCAAGCACACUCCGUAAGUUGACAAGAGUCAAGUUAAUUUGUCACUCUAGCUUCAAAUGCUCCUUUGCUGCAUAGCAAAAGCAAAACCUACCAUGCUUGAUGUCUGAUAAGACGGACGGAGCCACCAUCGUAAUCACAGGAAUGAAUGUAAGCGUGGCUUCCUUCACCACUGUCCUGAACCCAGAAGAGCCGUUUGUCCAGGACAUCAAGAGUCAGCACUGAUAUCCCCCCUGUCUCCAGCAGUGUUUUUACAUCAACACCUUUGAGGUGUGCUCUGUGAAGGCUGCCGGUCACCUCUGAAGACCAAAACAUCAACCUGGAGAUGAACAUAUCACACACAACCAUAACUGAAUGAACAGCCGCUGAAGUGGGGGCUCUCGGGGCUCCCACCUCUGGUGUCUGCCUCGGGGAGUCUGACUGCUUUGAAUGGGAAUUCAAUUGUGUGUAUGUAUCUCCUACUGGAAAUGCCGUGUGAUUUCAAGUGUGAAGGAAAACUAAGCUUUUAUAGAAGAACAUCAGGCAGGGAGAACUACCUAGUGUCUCCUAAUCCAGCCACUUGUUUUGGGGGGAAAUGGUGCCUGUGUAUUGUCAAAGAAGACCUGCAUCUCACUCAGGAGUCCUUUCAAGUAACACAAUGUACUAAUCUUGGUGAGAUUUGAAGCUCAUUUCAAUCUCCUUUAAAACAAAACAAAACAGAUUUUUACCUCUCUAUUGGAUCCACUGCUAUAUUUGACGGGUGCUUUAAGGAACUUAGAAGAACUCGGGAAUUUUUCCCUGUCAUAUCUGUUACGGUGAUGACUCCGUUCUGUUGGUCUACCCAGAGAACUUCAUCAUCUAUCCAGUUUAUGGCCAGCCCAGACAUCUUCUGCUCUACAUUGCACACUUUCUGCAAAACCAAAUUUAAACAUUAAGAAUAUUUCCAAUUUACAAUGAAAUUGCUACUUUAUCACACAUUGAAAGUCUGUCAUCUUAGCAUUUGCCAUUUUAAUGUGUUCUCUGCAUCUUUUAAAUGAUGAAAUGGUCACAUUUUCGAUUCAGCAACAGUACACCCCUCCUUGUGAAUAGGCUUUCUGUAUCAUAGCUUUGGAACCCCAAACUAUCCUAUAUACUAUUGAAAUCAGAAUCAGCCACGAUAAAAUUUUCACAGAUUUAUUUUAAUGCUUAAAAUAGUUCUUUUAAAUUCCAUUUGUUGAUGGAAUCCUAACAUGAAUUCAAUUUUAGGUCUUUCCAAACUCUGGUAAAAUUCCACUGUGGUUUGAGCAGGGAUAUAGAGUGGAUGUCUCACCUGCCCCCCUUUUAAAGAGGAUUUCAAGUACUCCAGGCUGGCCUCGAACUGUUUAAGUUUGAGGAUGGCUUUGAUGUCCGGAUCCUCCUGCCUCUGUCUCUUGAGUGCUGCGAUUACAGGCCUACCCAGGGUUUUAUGUGUGCCAGGCAAACAUUCUAGUGACUGAGCUAUAGCCACCACCUCUGCCCACUCUUCUACCAUCAAGACCCUUUCUUCUUCCAGGUCUCAAUGACACCAGAGAAGCAGUGUUUCUCUUUACAUGUCUCAGGCUGUCCCUUGCCUGUUCUUGAAAGAACCAAACCAAAGAAUCUGUAUUCUUGAGUCCAACCUGAGCAAAUCAAUUAGUCCUCUUGGGGCUUGGGUUGACAAGGCAGGAGGAAGCUGUGGUUUCUACACUCACAGGUUCCUGUGGUGUCUUAACCCUACCACUGUGGCUCCCACUCCCUUUAGGAUGGUGGUGAGUCUGGAGCCGGGUAGUGACAGCUCAGACUCAGAGCUGUGCUAGAUCUUUUGCAGAGCUGUCCGGCCGAAACCUUAAACAAUUCUGUGUUCCCUCAUUAGCUCUUCCCUUUAAAUUGCUUUCACGUUCAGUGUGAACAGCUCAGCGUGUGCUCUUUUUCAAGUUUUAAGGACGGAAGGGGUGAUGGUGGUGUACUGCUGAGUUAUUAGGCACCAGGCCAACCCUUUCCUAAGGACUCGACAUAAAUCCACAACUGCUUAUUCUCUUUUCCUUGGUUGGUGACAGGGAGUCUCCAAAUUCUCAGAUUUCCAUGCCGUUCUAGCAGAUGUCUGGAGAGUAUGGAACAGGCAAACUUGUUAAAGUGAGGCUAGCCAGUAUUAGAGAUGCGCUAAAGCAGAUUAGCACCUAAUUGAAGCUUUUAGAAAUAAUUGGAAGGAGAGAGGUUUAGUUUGAAGGGGGGGAGAGGUGAUCCAAACACUGAGCACUGUGUGUUGGGAAUAAAUGCUUGAGGGUUCCGUUAAUCACCUGCUCUCUGUAAUCCAUCCCUGGGACAUUCCUCCUGGGACUCACUGCUGAGUUCUACCAGUUGAAGAGAAAGAUUAAGGGUCUUUUGUAUGUACUUGAAAUACAACACUUUUUAUCUGUCCUUCAUUUUUUUUUCCCUAGAGUACAAAUACUUUGAGAAUACAAAGCCAACUUUUUUUUCAUUACUGUCAGGUAUUUCCUCUGCUACAUGAGAAGAAAAAUGUAUACAGAUAAAACAGACUUUCUUGACUAAGGCACUAUCAACUCGAGGUUAGACAGUGCUUCACUAUGGGGGCCAGUGCUUCACCACGGGGCAGCCCAGGAUGUUGAUUGGCAACCUUCCUUGCCCUGGGCCCACUGGAUACCCGUAGCAUCUUCAUCCUCUUAUUGUAGUUACUUGUGACAACCAAAAAGGACAGCUGUCAAAUAUUCAUAGAGGGACAAAACCAUCUGAGGUACAAAAUGCAAAUUUACGUCUUCAUGGCGACCAACUUAACAAAAUCAGAUGUUUUCAAAAUUAUAUUCAUUUUCUCAUGUCCUUCUGUUGAGGCUGACAAAUGUUGAUUUGCACACUGUAUCAGUGGUGCAGCACCACAGGUGCAUAUUAAAUGCCUGCAGUUAACACCUGCACCUUUGAACCGUGCUGGAUUCUCACGUAUCUCCCUGUCCAAGUACUAGGUGCUGGUUAGCUUCUGAGAUCAGGCCCAUUCAGAGAACUCUGACCUUACACAAAUUAUCUACACAUUAGAAACUCAGGAUGCCACAUUUGUCAGAUUUUGUAUAAAUUCUUCACAUACCGUGGGGAGGAAUAAUGGUACUUUACCUCUAGUCCUGUCCCGUUAAGGAAAACUCUUAGCAAAAGUUGUCUUUCUACAUCUACCCAAUAGAUUCUCUGUUUUUCAUAAUGAAUAUCCAUGUCCACUGAGAUGCCAGCAUCCACCACCAAUUGUUGGUGAUUUGUUCCAUCUGGGUCAAUCCGAGAGAUGCUCUUUCCUUGGGAGAAAACUAGGAAGGGGGCAGGACCUGAUGGGGGAGGAGAGAAAGAAACCAACGUAUAGGUUUUCAGUGAUAUUUAAUCUGUUCCACAUAAAAUACUUCCCAUGACAAUCAAUAUAUGUAGAAGUGACUUAAAUUUUUAGUCUUAUAUUUUAAAUAAAAACUCUUCCGUGC